This 1911-nucleotide long non-coding RNA is filed under the name Homo sapiens (human). Its description in RNAcentral is "non-protein coding LINC01184:42". Lineage: Eukaryota; Metazoa; Chordata; Mammalia; Primates; Hominidae. The record is from RNAcentral.
GUACCCGAGGCCGGGCCGGAGCCGCAGGCCAGCCGCGAUUCCUUCGGGCGAUGCUGGGGGCUUUCCGGUCGGGGCCGCAGCCGCUUCCGGAGCCGCGGGCGAGGUGCGUUCCCCAGCCUGGUUUGCUCUGGGCUCUGACCCGCCGCCGCGAAUCUCCGCUCGUAACUCCGGGCCUGAACCUGGAGGAGGGAGGAUUUCCUCUGUGCAGCUUUCGAGCGGUAGACUCACCCUGCCAGGCAGACCUAGAUUGGCAUAACCAGAGAUCAGUUCCAGUUGUGAUGCAGUGGGUGUCUACACACUUCUGAUGACACCUUUAUUUUAAAAGCUGAUGUUCCAAGGUGCAAGCGGUCUUCUCUGUCUUCUUUAUGGCCAGUAAAAUUCUCCAGAAGAGAUUUAUGGCAGCCUCACUCCCAGUAGUUUCUGCAUUUAGUGAGAUAAGGAAUGGAUUUUCUUCUGUGUAUUGCUGACACGAACAGGAGACGGAAAUACUGAGUAGAAGAGGGCGGUUCCCUGGCUAAGGCCCCACCCUCAAGCCUGGAUACCCGCGGCCCUAAAUGAGAAGAGGCGUUUCUGUUUGGGGCCCAAAAAGUUGCUUUUUGACCCACCACGCCCCCUAUCCUGCCCCCAUAUAAACCCCAAACCCCAACCUCCAGAGCAUACCAGCAGGUGAGGAGAUACGAGGCAAGCCGACUGACGGCAAAACGACGUAGCAGAGAAAGAGAGAAGAGGAGGGACGUCUGGACACCGAGAGAUGUUUGGCUCGGGGCAGUCAGAGCGGAGUCCAGCCCCUGGGCGGCCCAACUCCAGGGGAAGAUCACCUUCCCACUUCAUCCAUCCCCACCCUUCCAGCUCCCCAUCCAUCCUGCUGAAAGCCAUUUCCACCACUCAAUAAAACCUCGCAUUCAUCCUUCAAGUCCGUGUGUGACCCGAUUUUUCCUGGAUUCUGGAAAAGAGCUCGGAAUACAGAAAGCUGUCCCCUGGUCCUUUGCCCUUGUGAAAAAGCAGAAGGUCCAUUGAGCUGGUUAACACUCCAGCUGUCUGUGGUGGCCAAGCUGAAAGAGCUUUGUAACACUGGGGUUGCAGGCACCCACCUCUAGACGCUACCGCAGAGCCAGAGCCCAAAGCCCUCACCCCGGCCUCUGCACUUGCCCAUCUGCGUGCUCCCCCUCUCGCAAGGGGUUUCUGCAGAGGGGGCUACUGAACAGAUGGAAUCUUGCUCUCUUGCUCAGACUGGAGUGCAGUGGCAUGACCUUGGCUCACUGCAACCUCACCUCUCGGGUUCAAGCGAUUCUGCCUCAGCCUCUCGAGUAGCUGGGACUACAGGUGGGAGACCUCCACAGAACCCUUCCAGCAAGCUGUCUUCUAAAGCAAACAAGAAAAGGAAAGUCUGAGCAGUUUUGAUUAGAUUUCCCAGAAGUCAAAGCAAGGAAAAAUGAAAAAGCUUCAUUUCUCACGUUCUUAAAAGAGAGCACAGAUGUUGCAUCAUCUGGUUAGAUACCCUGAGAAUAAAAUCUGGAUCCAGUGAGAGGAAAGAUUCUGGGUGCUCAUGAAAAAAGAAACAAAACAAAACUUGGGAGCCUCUUGAGAGUGUACAGCAUCAGCCCUUGCCAACUCUUGUUUAUAUGCAUUUAACUUUCAGUUAACCAUGGGAAUAAUUCAUGAAAAUCCAAUCUACAAACAAAGGCCAUCCUAACGUUCAUGUUAUUCUUUUCCCUAAGAAUCUUUCACAAGAGCUAUAAUCAAGUAGAAUUAUGCUUUGAUUUGAAUUCUAAUUCAAUUGAAAAUAAAAAAUGAGGGCCGGACGCGGUGGCUCAUGCCUGUAAUCCCAGCGCUUUGGGAGGCUGAGGUGGACGGAUCACGAGGUCAGGAGAUCGAGACCAUCCUGGCUAACACGGUGAAACCCGAUCCCUA